CCUGAUGGCUUAGAUAGUAAAAGAGUCUGCCUGCAGUGCAGGAGACCCAGGUUCAAUCCCUGGGUCAGGA
This 70-nucleotide transfer RNA is filed under the name Ovis aries (sheep). It matches the Rfam family "tRNA". Rfam says of the family: Transfer RNA (tRNA) molecules are approximately 80 nucleotides in length. The record is from Rfam by way of RNAcentral. Lineage: Eukaryota; Metazoa; Chordata; Mammalia; Artiodactyla; Bovidae.